AGUCUGACUGACUCCGCCGCGUGAGUGAAGAAGGUUUUCGGAUCGUAAACUCUGUUGUUGGAGAAGAACAAGGAUGAGAGUAACUGUUCAUCCCUUGACGGUAUCUAACCAGAAAGCCACGGCUAACUACGUGCCAGCAGCCGCGGUAAUACGUAGGUGGCAAGCGUUGUCCGGAUUUAUUGGGCGUAAAGCGAGCGCAGGCGGUUUCUUAAGUCUGAUGUGAAAGCCCCCGGCUCAACCGGGGAGGGUCAUUGGAAACUGGGAGACUUGAGUGCAGAACAGGAGAGUGGAAUUCCAUGUGUAGCGGUGAAAUGCGUAGAUAUAUGGAGGAACACCAGUGGCGAAGGCGGCUCUCUGGUCUGUAACUGACGCUGAGGCUCGAAAGCGUGGGGAGCAAACAGGAUUAGAUACCCUGGUAGUCCACGCCGUAAACGAUGAGUGCUAAUUGUUGGAGGGUUUCCGCCCUUCAGUGCUGCAGCUAACGCAUUAAGCACUCCGCCUGGGGAGUACGACCGCAAGGUUGAAACUCAAAGGAAUUGACGGGGGCCCGCACAAGCGGUGGAGCAUGUGGUUUAAUUCCAAGCAACGCGAAGAACCUUACCAGGUCUUGACAUCCUUUGACCACUCUAGAGAUAGAGCUUCCCCUUCGGGGGCAAAGUGACAGGUGGUGCAUGGUUGUCGUCAGCUCGUGUCGUGAGAUGUUGGGUUAAGUCCCGCAACGAGCGCAACCCUUAUUGUUAGUUGCCAUCAUUCAGUUGGGCACUCUAGCAAGACUGCCGGUGACAAACCGGAGGAAGGUGGGGAUGACGUCAAAUCAUCAUGCCCCCUUAUGACCUGCGCUACACACGUGCUAGAGUGGUGAAGUACAACGAGUUGCGAAGUCGCGAGGCUAAGCUAAUCUCCUAAAGCUUCUCUCAAUGCGGAUUGCAUGCUGCAACUCGCCUGCAUGAGACGGGAUCUGCUAGUAGUCUCGCAUCAUCACACGCGAUGAUACGAUCCGGGCCAUGUACACAGCUGCUCGUCAAUCACGAGAGUUCGUAUCACCAGAG
This 1049-nucleotide ribosomal RNA is filed under the name Enterococcus faecium. RNAcentral describes it as "bacterial SSU rRNA". It matches the Rfam family "Bacterial small subunit ribosomal RNA", at positions 380 to 1425 of the family's 1533-position model. Lineage: Bacteria; Bacillati; Bacillota; Bacilli; Lactobacillales; Enterococcaceae. The record is from RNAcentral.